GAAGCUACCAUCUGUAGGAUUAUUACUGAACGCCUCUAAGUCAGAAUCUAUGCUGGAAAGCGACGAUAAUCACCGCUCUCUGUGUUCACGCGUAGCGAUAGGCUUCGGCCCAACACCACAUUCAGUCGCCUUUCGGGCACUGAGAGCGAUAAAUCCUUUGUAGACGACUUUGAUAUGGAACGGGGUAUUGUAAGUAUGAGAGUAGGCUUGUCCUACGAUCUACUGAGAUUAAGCCCUUUGU
Molecule: ribosomal RNA, 241 nt
Filed under: Tiarina fusus
Lineage: Eukaryota; Ciliophora; Prostomatea; Prorodontida; Colepidae
Description: Tiarina fusa partial Eukaryotic large subunit ribosomal RNA
Rfam family: Eukaryotic large subunit ribosomal RNA
Source: RNAcentral